AGAGCAUGUCAUAUUUGAGGAAGAGGUGAAUUCGGAGAUGCUAAAAUAAGUGUGUUAAGAAUGUAAUUGUUAUUUGAUUACAAAUGCUGAGCCAUCCAUAUAUUCAAGGUUUCCCGUUACGAGGAUCUUGGUGUUGUGCUUGCACGACAGCUACUUCAAUUCCUGGCACUCAGGAUGCUGGGUUUUACCACUAAGUACUGCACUUAGUGGAAAGAAGGCCCAGGCUUGGUGAAAAGGCCUUUGUAAGGUCAAAGCAGGCAGAGACAAAAAGCGGAGUGUAGAGCAAAUCUAACAAGUCAAAUGUGAAGCUGAGGUCACAACAUGGCACUGGGCUACUGACAAAAUGAGAGCUGUCCUCAUGCCCCAAAGCACUCACUGCCAGAGGCAAGCAUCGCAGGCAUCUGUUCAGACCUGAUCCGUUACCACCAUCUACAUAGAUUAAAAGGGAGAGGUGGAGCAGAACUGUCUAUUUUUUUUGCCCUUCUCCUUCCAUUUUCUCCUGGUAACCUGCCCGUAUUUUCUGGUUGCACCAUCCACUCAUGCCAAGAAACAAAUCCUACAGCCCCAGUGAAACCGAAGGCAGCUCUGCUGUUAAUGUGUGCACAGUGAGAGAGGGGCGAAGGUUUCAGCCCCAAACCAGUGUGCGAUAGGUUCAGCAGGGCAGGAGCUGACCUCCUCCUGAGCACUGACAUACUCACAGGUAUCUCUCCUAGUGUGACAGCCUUCAGCCAGCAACCUGCAAGGUGCCAUGCUGCUCUGUGAAUGUAAGUGACAGAUGGCAGAGCUCUUGAUUGCUAAGAGGAAGCAACCAUAGCACACAACUAUUUUGGCUUAAAGGUGUCCAGGACUAAAUGACAAAACUGAUCGAUUUGUGCAACAGCUGUCAGAGAAAAACUGACAUUGCCUAGCAACAUUCAGAAGGAAAAUUACAAUCUCCAGGUUUUAUUGCCAACAGUCAUCAAGUGGGUAAUAUUAGACAACUAAUUACACGUAGGUUAGCAUUUAUGUUAGCUUUGUAAGUCUUAUAAAAAUGUACUGAGUCUUGCUAUGACUGUUUUACAGCCUUUGCUUUGGUAAUGCACAGUCAGGUGAUCUUUUUUCCCUUUUUUUUUUUUUUUUUGCUGUUUUGUUAAUGUCAGUCUUACAAAAUACAUCCCCUGUGUGUGUUCCAUGCAACGUGCAUAGCCAGCUCCGUUACCCAGAGCUGUGUAAGAUGCACAGAUGCCUCAGUGAGUGGAAAUCACACGUAUUGGUACGUAGUUCAGGGGCUCCUUUGUGCUACGUAUUGUUAUAUAGUGCCGCAGUGCCCAAGGUCCUGCUCUGAGCAGCAUGGAGGAGGCUUAAGGGCCAGUGCCCUCCCCUUGCUCCACCCUGAGCCCCAUCCAGUGCUGGCUGCAUGGCACUAACUCCUGCCCACCCUGAGCAUGCAGCUCUGCCACGUCCUGAUGCAGCUCUGGCAUAAGAACAGUUUUUGCUGUGAUAAGAGGUAGGAGAGAAGGACCAGUAGAACAAACCUUAGGGAGAGCAUUGCUCAUGGAAUGCUCAGCCAUUUUACAGGGUAUGAUAAACUUCUAUGCUUGUAUUCCUUCAGAGCAUUUCAAGUGUUUCCUCAAAAAGUUGGGGUGAUCGGUCAAAGAAGUGAUAAUGAUCCAACCUCUCACAUUCCCAGGGUGUUUCUGCUUUCUAGAACAUCUUGCAAGGCUACCUCUGACAUCCUGGGCAAUCUUUUAACUGCUUUCAAGACCACUCAGCAGGAAAGAGACUCUGAUAUUUUGUUUUCUGCAUCUCAGAAGAUCCAAAUCUCCUCUUAUGCACUGAAUAAAUGCCAUUUCUCUCUGCCAUGUUCUGCUUCGUACAGAGCAGCAAAGCCGAACUGCAGACAAACUGAUGUGAGAUGAUAAAUCCUUCAUCCAAAACGAAGAAUCUGCCCAGUGACAAAUGGAGACAGAGAUUUUCACUCGGGCUGGCAGACCAAGAUGAUGAAGGUUUGUUCUUAUCUGAUGUAUUUUUUCUUACUGAAUGGAAAGGAAAAUGAAAUUGGGCUAUUCUGUCAAACAGAAAAGAUUUCGUAUGGUAUCUAUGGCUGCUGCGUGAUGUGUAAAUUGUCCUCAUUGUAGUGUCUCUUCAUUAUGGGUGAUCCCAAGCUAUUUUACACAAUUCAGACAGAAUACCUAGGGGAUGGUUUUAUCCAUCUUGAAGGCAAUCAGCUCCAGGUAUUACUUGUUCUGUAUAUUUAGCAAGAGAGUGCCUUAGGCUAAUAAUUGAAGCAGAAUGCAUCCUGUAAGAAUCACCUGCUUUAUAUUUCAGCUCCUACAGGAAUCUAAGCUCACAUUUUUGUGUUUGUAAAAACAUGAGGUAAAAUUAAAUGAUGUUUUACUGGCCAAGGCGUUCCAUGCAUCCAAAGCUAUCUGUAGUCAGUUAAGGGGAAGAGUUUCAGAUUUGGAGUUUUGUUCCAGCUCUGAUGUUUGAGAUCUCAAAAGCAGAUAUGUGUCACCAUCAUAUUGUCACAAGUUUGUGGGCUUCUCAUCACAAUUUCACUCAAAACAAUCUUCCGAUGCUCUGGGGAAAGCAGGUCUGUAUAUCCACAGAUCCUCCAUUCAUUGCCCUUAAGCAAGAAACCAGCUCAUCUGGAACCAAGGUUUGUUCCUGAACUCCUUCACUGUACAGUGUUUUUUCCCACUGGUUUUCCAAAAGGGCAUUUUGUUCCUCCUGGGCGGAGCUGAAUGCGUGGUUUUGUCCACUUCUGUCGUUGUUUAAAACCAGGUUGAUCUUGUCCAGCAGGCACACCUGGGCCCCUGCUCCUUCAGCAUCCCACAGGCAGCUAAAAGGGCUGCUGUAGUCUCGGAAGAAAAUAUUUGUCUCUGGUUCUGGAGCUGGUGUGUAGGGCUGUAUCAGGCCCAUGUUGGCAGCUACAUAUCCUAGUGUGUUUGCAUCAGAGAUUUGGGGUUUGUAGUCACUGACGUCCUCCGUGGCCGUGUUAUGGGGAGGUGCUGAGCUCUGUGGGUGCUCCACGUUCUCAGGGACCACAUUGCUGGGUUCCUUUUUGAUGUCCACGUUCUUGUAUUUCUUGUCCCCUGACAGCUCCUUUAUUUCCGUAAUUGUGGGGUCACUGUUAUCCAGGAACGGCUCACUGAAAAUGCUGUUUGUGAAUUCACUCUUCU
RNAcentral lists this long non-coding RNA (3161 nucleotides) under Gallus gallus (chicken). RNAcentral's name for it is "long non-coding RNA NONGGAT009084". The record is from RNAcentral. Lineage: Eukaryota; Metazoa; Chordata; Aves; Galliformes; Phasianidae.